Molecule: transfer RNA, 92 nt
Filed under: Laceyella sacchari
Lineage: Bacteria; Bacillati; Bacillota; Bacilli; Caryophanales; Thermoactinomycetaceae
Also listed under: 1 other name
Description: tRNA-Ser
Rfam family: tRNA
About the family: Transfer RNA (tRNA) molecules are approximately 80 nucleotides in length. Their secondary structure includes four short double-helical elements and three loops (D, anti-codon, and T loops). Further hydrogen bonds mediate the characteristic L-shaped molecular structure. tRNAs have two regions of fundamental functional importance: the anti-codon, which is responsible for specific mRNA codon recognition, and the 3' end, to which the tRNAs corresponding amino acid is attached (by aminoacyl-tRNA synthetases). tRNAs cope with the degeneracy of the genetic code in two manners: having more than one tRNA (with a specific anti-codon) for a particular amino acid; and 'wobble' base-pairing, i.e. permitting non-standard base-pairing at the 3rd anti-codon position.
Source: RNAcentral
GGAGAGAUGUCCGAGUGGUUGAAGGAGGCGGUCUCGAAAACCGUUGUGCGGGGUAACCCGUACCGUGGGUUCGAAUCCCACUCUCUCCGCCA